Molecule: long non-coding RNA, 1939 nt
Filed under: Triticum aestivum (bread wheat)
Lineage: Eukaryota; Viridiplantae; Streptophyta; Magnoliopsida; Poales; Poaceae
Description: long non-coding RNA (TAES_LNC017124)
Source: RNAcentral
CCCUUUAUGUUAAUGUGAUAUUCAGCAGGGUAGCUCUUUAAUUUAUAUUUUUCUUUCUCUUAGGCAGCAAUGAUGCUCCUUAUAUUGAUGUGAUAUUCUACCAUGUUUUAUCCUAUACAUUACAAUGCCAUUCUGUAUUUAGUAUGCUCAGGAUCAUUUGAUCUGUCUUGCACUUGUGUUUUCUUUGUUGGUUCAGUCUUAAUGGUACUUAUCCUUAUAGUUACUUGGGAUUUUUGUCUAUCAUACCUUUUGACCUUUCAUUAUGUUAGUAUCUUUGACUUAUUCGGCAGUUACAUUGCAAGUUCGAGGAAUAUCAUUGGCACAGCAGAGAGGUUGCAAACAAGAAGGUGAGUUUAUCACCCAGUGGCAUUAAAUUGUAUCAUUAUUCUUCCAGAUGAAGAGGUACCAUUCCCUACUGUUACAAAAUCAAAUAAUUUAGUGUUAUGCCGAUAAGCUUGGCAAAGUUGUGUGCUCAUGUCAUAUCAUCAAUCUGUCCUCAUUUGUUAUGCAUGUAAUCUACUGAUUGUAGUAGCCUUAUGUAGAAAAAUAGUUAUUUUAUGUGUUCUCCCAUCGCAGAGCCAUCUUGGGUGAAACCGCUAUUACCAAAUUUGAGGGACUGCAACCAUUUAUUGCUGCCUUAAUUUGUUAAAUUAGUUUGAAAACAGCCAUAUGUUUCCAUAAAUUCUGAAUUCUUUACUACACUAAGAUUGAGCGGAAUACAUUGUGUGAUUAGCAUUUGUUCUGUUUUUCGUUGAAAUACAUGUAAUAUUACCACCUAAACUCUACUUAUCUCUAAUUUGAUUAUGUAAUGAGCACUGUCUUUAUACAUAUCUUCGCAGACAGAAAAUAGCCUUUGCAAAGGACAAGAGGGCGACAACAAAAUUAAGAUUGCUUUCGUGUGUUUGUUGAGUUGGCCUUGAGCUGCUGGGUGAAGGUAUGUUUUUUUUGCUUAAUUGCCAAGUGCAUGAAUUGAUCGCCGUGUGUUCUUUUAGUUUCGUGCUUGGAAAUUAAUCAAUUGGUACAAGUUUCAAACCAACUGCUAAAAAUAUAUUGUUUUAGUUGUAUGUCAACCAGCCAUCACACAUUAAAGACGGUUAUGAUUUUGAGUACCCGUUUGAAAAUUGAUUUGUUUUGAAAUGUUGGAAUGGAAACAAGGAACACAACACUCAGAAAGUGGUCUGAUGUUAAAUUUAGUUGUCCAUUGCCUCCGGCGAAUGUCAUCUCCCAGCUCGUGACCUUGCCCCUAGUAUUUUUCUUACUAUACUAAGCUACAAAAGCUAUUUUGUUGAUUUUUUUAACUCAUGACAGUACUUCAAAGAGAAGUAAUUAUAAUAAAUUGUUCCUUCAUGUUUUUUUCCCAGAAAGUAGCCUCCAUGCUUCUUAAAUCUGGGUACUGUUUUGUACAGAAGCUUUCAUCUAUAGAGAAGCACAUCUGUUUCAGGUACAUACUAUUAAAACUUAUGAGCAAGUUUGCUGCAAUGAUGUUCCACAUAUAUGGUUUGCAGCUCUAUCAAUUAAAUUUGGUGCCAACUUUUUGUACAAUUCUGCGACUUAUAGUUUCACCCAACUAUUAUGUGAUGAAUUUAGAGGGAUGGAGGUAAGGUUUGGCCAAGUUAAUUUGAGAAACUAAGAUGCCGAAUAGGUUCUUACUAUAUCACAUAUCAAUGGUCCUAGUUCUUGCAAUCGUACUUUUUGCAAUUGACAUUUGACAUAAAAUGUACAACCUCAAUGAGUCCUUUUUUAACAGAUUGAUGAGUCUAUUUCGUGCAGGCUAAUCUGAAAAAGAAGCCAAUUCAAGCUGUAGUUGACUAACAAAUGGGUCAUGUUUUUCAUAUGUAGUUGACGAACUUAUGUGUUAUUAGAUGUGCUCUUAAUACUUUGUUGUAUGCAAAUUAGACGGAUUGUGUUGGAUGACCGGCUCCUGCGUUCGUUUUCACAG